GCUAGUUGGUGAGGUAACGGCUCACCAAGGCGAUGAUAGGUAGCCGGCCUGAGAGGGUGAACGGCCACAAGGGGACUGAGACACGGCCCAGACUCCUACGGGAGGCAGCAGUGAGGAAUAUUGGUCAAUGGGCGGAAGCCUGAACCAGCCAUGCCGCGUGAAGGACUAAGGCCCUACGGGUCGUAAACUUCUUUAGACGCAGAGCAAUAAGGUCCACGUGUGGACCGAUGAGAGUAUGCGUAGAAUAAGCAUCGGCUAACUCCGUGCCAGCAGCCGCGGUAAUACGGGGGAUGCGAGCGUUAUCCGGAUUCAUUGGGUUUAAAGGGUGCGUAGGCGGCCGAGUAAGUCAGCGGUGAAAGACCGGGGCUCAACCCUGGAAGUGCCGUUGAUACUGUUUGGCUGGAAUGAUCCCGCCGCGGGAGGAAUGAGUGGUGUAGCGGUGAAAUGCAUAGAUAUCACUCAGAACACCGAUUGCGAAGGCAUCUCGCGAGGGGUCAAUUGACGCUGGGGCACGAAAGCGUGGGGAUCGAACAGG
This 535-nucleotide ribosomal RNA is filed under the name uncultured bacterium. RNAcentral's name for it is "bacterial SSU rRNA". It matches the Rfam family "Bacterial small subunit ribosomal RNA", at positions 244 to 776 of the family's 1533-position model. The record is from RNAcentral.